Molecule: unclassified non-coding RNA, 334 nt
Filed under: soil metagenome
Description: partial contains 5.8S ribosomal RNA, internal transcribed spacer 2, and large subunit ribosomal RNA
Rfam family: 5.8S ribosomal RNA (bases 1-120)
Source: RNAcentral
GAUGAAGAACGUAGCGAGAUGCGAUACGUAAUGUGAAUUGCAGAAUUCAGUGAAUCAUCGAAUCUUUGAACGCACAUUGCGCCCGCCAGCACUCUGGCGGGCAUGCCUGUUCGAGCGUCAUUUCAACCAUCAAGCCCCAGGCUUGCGUUGGAGCCCUGCGGCUGCCGCAGCCUCCUAAAAGCAGUGGCGGGCUCGCUAUCACACCGAGUGCAGUAGAUUACUCUUCGCUCAGGGCGUGCAGCGGGUUCCGGCCGUGAAACCCCCUACUUUUAAAGGUUGACCUCGGAUCAGGUAGGAAUACCCGCUGAACUUAAGCAUAUCAAUAAGCGGAGGA